UAGCAAGAAACUACAAAGUGUUAUGGUUUCGGCCCAUAAAUAGGUAUGAUCUAUACCCUUGCUUU
RNAcentral lists this transfer RNA (65 nucleotides) under Toxolasma parvum (lilliput). Its description in RNAcentral is "Toxolasma parvus (lilliput) tRNA-Arg". The record is from RNAcentral. Lineage: Eukaryota; Metazoa; Mollusca; Bivalvia; Unionida; Unionidae.